UGGCGGCGUGCCUAACACAUGCAAGUCGAGCGAGAAAGUCCCUUCGGGAUGAGUACAGCGGCGGACGGUUGAGUAACACGUGAGAAUCAACCCUAUAGUGAAGAAUACCCUCGAGAAAUCGAGGUUAAUACUGCAUACGUCCCUUCGGGGAGAAAGAUGGCCUCUUUGCUGUCGCUAUAGGACGAGCUUGCGGACUAUCAGCUAGUUGGUGAGGUAAUGGCUCACCAAGGCAAUGACGGUUAGCCGGCCUGAGAGGGUGUACGGCCAGACUGGAACUUAGACACGGUCCAGACUCCUACGGGAGGCAGCAGUGGGGAAUAUUGCGCAAUGGGCGAAAGCCUGACGCAGCGACGCCGCGUGGAGGAUGAAGGUCUUCGGAUUGUAAACUUCUGUUAAGUGGGAAAAAAGCUCUAUUUCUAAUACAGAUAGAGGAUGAUUGUACCAUUAGAGAAAGCACCAGCUAACUACGUG
RNAcentral lists this ribosomal RNA (471 nucleotides) under uncultured bacterium. Its description in RNAcentral is "bacterial SSU rRNA". It matches the Rfam family "Bacterial small subunit ribosomal RNA", at positions 37 to 507 of the family's 1533-position model. The record is from RNAcentral.